AAAAAAGGCAAACCGUUUGAAAAAACGGGACGCAAAGCUUAGGGUCUAAGGGAACGAAUACAAUCUUUCCUAUGAUCGCCUGGUUACCUA
RNAcentral lists this non-coding RNA (90 nucleotides) under Gracilibacillus massiliensis. RNAcentral's name for it is "Cyclic di-GMP-I riboswitch". It matches the Rfam family "c-di-GMP-I riboswitch aptamer". From Rfam's summary of the family: GEMM was predicted in a large-scale screen for bacterial structured RNA regulatory elements. The record is from RNAcentral. Lineage: Bacteria; Bacillati; Bacillota; Bacilli; Caryophanales; Bacillaceae.